CUGGCUCAGGAUGAACGCUAGCGGCAGGCCUAACACAUGCAAGUCGAGGGGCAGCAUUUCUAGCUUGCUAGAAGAUGGCGACCGGCGCACGGGUGCGUAACGCGUAUACAAUCUACCUAUUACUGAGGGAUAGCCCGAAGAAAUUUGGAUUAAGACCUCAUAGUAUUAUUAAGCUGCAUGGUUUGAUAAUUAAAGGUUACGGUAAUAGAU
Molecule: ribosomal RNA, 210 nt
Filed under: Nonlabens xylanidelens
Lineage: Bacteria; Pseudomonadati; Bacteroidota; Flavobacteriia; Flavobacteriales; Flavobacteriaceae
Description: partial 16S ribosomal RNA
Rfam family: Bacterial small subunit ribosomal RNA
Source: RNAcentral